GUCGGGAUAGCUCAGUUGGUAGAGCAGAGGA
RNAcentral lists this transfer RNA (31 nucleotides) under Paepalanthus lamarckii. RNAcentral describes it as "partial tRNA-Phe". The record is from RNAcentral. Lineage: Eukaryota; Viridiplantae; Streptophyta; Magnoliopsida; Poales; Eriocaulaceae. RNAcentral also lists the same sequence under 3 other names.